Molecule: long non-coding RNA, 462 nt
Organism: Thalassophryne amazonica
Lineage: Eukaryota; Metazoa; Chordata; Actinopteri; Batrachoidiformes; Batrachoididae
Exons: 3
Source: RefSeq, a predicted model, not a curated record
AAUAAUUGAGGAAAUAACUUACUAAAACCUUGUUUAAAUUACAAAAUAGCCUCUUUUAAUAUGAGAAUCAAUACAUGCUUGUUAUAACAUGACCUAGAUCUUGCAAUAUUGCAAUUUACAUGUAUUAUUUUAUAGCCGUAUCAUUGUUUAAAGCUACAGUGUGCAUGAUUUAGUGUCAUCUAGUGGUGAGAUUGUAGAUUGCGUUAUGCCAUUGCUGGUCAUGAUUUUGUUUUCCUUUGCUUCCCUUUUCUCCAAUGACGAUGGAGGUUCCUGUGUCCCUGCCUUCUCUUGUGAUAAGCAAUAGUAUGUCAUAGUAGCACGUAGGUGCCUUGUGGGCUCCUGUAUCAAUAUGGUGGUGCAAAAAGGUUGCUGCCAUGAGGUCGGUGGCUCCCACAGCGAUAUGGAGGCUUCACUCUGACCUGAUGAAAACACAGUGAUAAGAUCAGAAGAGCACACAUCUGA